This is a long non-coding RNA of Etheostoma cragini (Arkansas darter), 502 nucleotides long. RefSeq lists it as uncharacterized. NCBI's taxonomy places the organism in Eukaryota, Metazoa, Chordata, Actinopteri, Perciformes, Percidae. The record is from RefSeq and is a predicted model, not a curated record. The transcript has 3 exons.
CAGGAGGAUCUUACUUCUAUGUUAUGUACAGUGUUGGUAUAAAACAUACCGAUAGGCUGUAGAAUAAAGCAUCAUCAAUCAUUUCUCAUUGUCUAUGGGUUUCACGCUUACUUUUUAGCAAGGUUUAGCUUUUAUUAGUAUUCAUCAUUAUGCAUGGAUGUAACUAACAGAGGCAAAAUGAGCGUUGUUGCAUUGUUCAUGCAUGAAUAGAUGGGAUUUAUGUUUCAUAUAUCAGUAGCCCAUGGCUUUAUUCCAUGACAAAGGGCUCCUAAAGUUUAUUGAUUGUAUGCCAGUUUUAGAGCUGUGCUUUACAGUGUUCCUCAUAAUAGGCAGUUCAUUACAUCCACAUGCUCCAAGCUGGAUAUUGGCUUCAAAGUUAACGUGGUUUAUUUUCUCUGUCGGUAAGGCGAUUAGAAAUGAACGGUUAGUUAAUCAUCAUUGCAUGAAAAUUGUUUAUUAAAAUGAAAGUGGUCUACAAUUCACUGUUGUGAAAAAAAAAAAA